AACGCGAAGAACCUUACCGGGGCUUGACAUCCUGCGCCAUCCUAGGAGACUAGGCUUUCUAGCAAUAGAACGCAGAGACAGGUGCUGCAUGGCUGUCGUCAGCUCGUGCCGUGAGGUGUUGGGUUAAGUCCCGCAACGAGCGCAACCCUUGUCGUGUGUUGGUCAGCAAUGAUCUCUCACACGAGACCGCCGGUGACAAGCCGGAGGAAGGUGGGGAUGACGUCAAGUCAGCAUGGCCCUUACGUCCCGGGCUACACACGUGCUACAAUGGGAAGGACAGCGAGUCGCGAACCCGCGAGGGCAAGCUAAUCUCUUAAACCUUUCCUCAGUUCGGAUUGGAGGCUGCAACUCGCCUCCAUGAAGUCGGAAUCGCUAGUAACCGCAGAUCAGCUACGCUGCGGUGAAUACGUUCCCGGGCCUUGUACACACCGCGUGUCU
Molecule: ribosomal RNA, 438 nt
Filed under: uncultured bacterium
Lineage: Bacteria
Description: bacterial SSU rRNA
Rfam family: Bacterial small subunit ribosomal RNA
Source: RNAcentral